AUGGUGGUGGAGAAUGCCGAGUUUCUGAGCACUUUCCCAGGGAAUGAGCAAGAUAGCUACCAUCACUCAGAUGAUUUUGAUGGACUAGGCGUACUCUGCAUGUCACAGCAGCAGCUUCUUAUCCUCACUAUGAGUGUGUGCAUCUCGUCCACAGAAGAGUCCCAGAAGUGUUUACUGAGUGAACCAAUGAUCUCCAAGUGUACAUUUCCUAUUCCUUCAGUUCAGUCCCUGGCUUUGAUUUGGGGUGCACCCCUCCAGGUCACAGACAACCAGACCCCAAUGGUGGUUCAAGGGAGAGCAGGUGAUGUGAUCCUACCCCAUGGAGUAGACUUCAGGGCUUCUGUGAGAGCUUCCGGUAAAGAGAAUACAUGGCUGGAGCAUCUGGCUGCCAUCUUGCUACCAGGUAAAGUCUGAGACUGGAGCCAAUUUGGCAAAGAGAAAUAUACGUGUACACACACCCCACUCACUCAUACAUGCCUAUAUGAUAUAUAUGGAUAUAAGAAUAAAUGAAUAAAAUUCUUUCCCCAUUAAGUCUUCCAAGCCUAUUCCCUGUGUCUCCCUUCUUCUUGUUCAUCUUCACUGCACUCAACGUAAGUUCCUACAGCUGUAUACUUCAUCAUCUCCACUCAUUUCCUGGGUCACCUCUCAUCUAUCCAAUAUGAUUGCAAUUUCUCUUGUGAGUGGGAUUCUAACCCCUCUGCAUAUAAAUACUUUCUUUUCAUGUAAGGGAGGGAGAGGGAAUAACAUAUACCAAGAAGUGUGCUAGCACUGAGCACUUUGAAUACAAAGUUUUAACAUUAAGGAGGUUAUAUUUUAGUGAAGGGAGAUAGACCAAAAACAAAUUAACCAAACUCCUAAUUUAUUCCUACCCCCCCCCCCCCCCCCCCCCUUCUCUUUUUGCUCUGUGUAAGUCUAUUUCUGUUUUGUAAAUAAGUUCAUUUGCAUCAUUUUUUUUUUAAGGUUUCACAUAUAAGUGAUAUCAGGAGGCUUCCUUGGUGGCUUAGUUAGUAAAGAAUCCACCUGUGAUUUGGAAAACCCAGGUUUGAUCCCUGGGUCAGUGAGAUCCCUUGGAGAAGGGCAUGGCAACCCACUCCAUUGUUCUUGCCUGGGGAACUCCAGAGGAGCCUGGGAUUGCAAAGAGUUGGACUCGACUGAGCAACUAGUACUUUUACUUUCAUAAGUGAUAUCACAUGAUAUUUGUAUUUGUCUGACUUAAUUCACUUAAUAUGAUAAUUUCUGGGCUCAUCCAUGUUUCUUCAAACAGCAUUAUUUUAUUCUUUUAUGGCUAAUAUUAC
RNAcentral lists this long non-coding RNA (1295 nucleotides) under Ovis aries (sheep). Its description in RNAcentral is "lncRNA (ENSOARG00000026903.1)". Lineage: Eukaryota; Metazoa; Chordata; Mammalia; Artiodactyla; Bovidae. The record is from RNAcentral.